CAGUAGCCGCGGUAAUACGAAGGGUGCAAGCGUUAAUCGGAAUUACUGGGCGUAAAGCGUGCGUAGGCGGUGAGUUAAGUCUGCUGUGAAAUCCCCGGGCUCAACCUGGGAAUGGCAGUGGAUACUGGCUCGCUAGAGUGUGUCAGAGGAUGGUGGAAUUCCCGGUGUAGCGGUGAAAUGCGUAGAGAUCGGGAGGAACAUCAGCGGCGAAGGCGGCCAUCUGGGACAACACUGACGCUGAGGCACGAAAGCGUGGGGAGCAAACAGGAUUAGAUACCCGGGUAGUCCCUGUCUCUUAUAC
RNAcentral lists this ribosomal RNA (301 nucleotides) under uncultured bacterium. RNAcentral describes it as "partial 16S ribosomal RNA". It matches the Rfam family "Bacterial small subunit ribosomal RNA", at positions 509 to 807 of the family's 1533-position model. The record is from RNAcentral.